RNAcentral lists this unclassified non-coding RNA (258 nucleotides) under Hevea brasiliensis (rubber tree). The record is from RNAcentral. Lineage: Eukaryota; Viridiplantae; Streptophyta; Magnoliopsida; Malpighiales; Euphorbiaceae.
AAACCAGGUUUCGAUCAGGGCCAGUAUAAUGAGCGCGGUGCGCAGGCCCAGCAUGCGCGGCGCAGGCGCGGAUUCGGGCGCGGCGGGAUCGGCAAUGGUCGGUAUGACGGAAUUCAUGGUGUCCNNNNNCUAUCCCCCGCCGGCGCACAGCGGCCCUGCGGGGCUUUCGGCCAUCUUCCCUUUGUCGGAAAAGCGAUUAGAACGGUUCAAACAAGAUGCCAGGCCCGCGCCGGGCCAUUGAAAUUCCGGCGUUUUUCG